GCCGUGGCCGCAGCAGGUCUGGGCUGGGCUGGGCUCCGAGUCCGCAGCGCGACGG
Molecule: microRNA precursor, 55 nt
Filed under: Notamacropus eugenii (tammar wallaby)
Lineage: Eukaryota; Metazoa; Chordata; Mammalia; Diprotodontia; Macropodidae
Description: miRNA (ENSMEUG00000017187.1)
Source: RNAcentral